AAUAAACGCUGGCGGCGUGCUUAACACAUGCAAGUCGAACGAGAAAACCUUUCGGGGUUAGUACAGUGGCGAACGAGUGAGUAACGCGUAAGAAUCUGCCUUUUAGUGAAGAAUACCCUUGAGAAAUUGAGGUUAAUGCUGCAUACGUCCUACGGGAGAAAGAUGGCCUCUUUGCUGUCGCUAAAAGAUGAGCUUGCGUACUAUUAGUUAGUUGGUGAGGUAAUGGCUCACCAAGACGAUGAUGGUUAGCCGGCCUGAGAGGGUGUACGGCCACGCUGGAACUUAGACACGGUCCAGACUCCUACGGGAGGCAGCAGUGGGGAAUAUUGCGCAAUGGGCGAAAGCCUGACGCAGCGACGCCGCGUGGAGGAUGAAGGCCUUUGGGUCGUAAACUCCUGUUAAGUGGGAAGAAAAACUCUUUUUUAAUAGAAAAGAGCAAUGACGGUACCAUUAAAGAAAGCACCGGCUAAUCUCGUGCCAGCAGCCGCCGUAACAC
Molecule: ribosomal RNA, 496 nt
Filed under: uncultured bacterium
Lineage: Bacteria
Description: bacterial SSU rRNA
Rfam family: Bacterial small subunit ribosomal RNA
Source: RNAcentral